AUUGAACGCUGGCGGCAGGCCUAACACAUGCAAGUCGAACGAGUGGCGGACGGGUGAGUAAUGUCUGGGAAACUGCCUGAUGGAGGGGGAUAACUACUGGAAACGGUAGCUAAUACCGCAUACCAUCGGAUGUGCCCAGAUUGGAUUAGCUAGUAGGUGGGGUAAAGGCUCACCUAGGCGACGCUCCAUAGCUGGUCUGAGCGGAUGACCAGCAAACCGGGAACUGGGACACGGUCCAGACUCCGACGGGAGGCAGAAGUGGGUAAUAUUGCACAAAGGGCGCGAGCCUGAUGCAGCCAUGCCGCGUGUAUGAAGAAGGCCUGCGGGUUGUAAAGUACUUUCAGCGGGGAGGCGUUACCCGCAGAAGAAGCACCGGCUAACUCCGUGCCAGCAGCCGCGGUAAUC
This 405-nucleotide ribosomal RNA is filed under the name uncultured bacterium. RNAcentral's name for it is "partial 16S ribosomal RNA". It matches the Rfam family "Bacterial small subunit ribosomal RNA", at positions 30 to 525 of the family's 1533-position model. The record is from RNAcentral.